GUGCUACACCAACACUCACAACUGCAUCACAGCAAACAAGUCAGGGAGAAAAUUACCAUCAUAUAUCAGACUUAAAAAUUAUAAAUAUAGUACAAUAAGAAAAAGACUGCACCAAAACUAAGGCACGAGAAAAUCAUCUUAGGGAUUCCAUUUAUAAAUUUAUUAGGUACCUUUUCUAGUGAAAGCACUAUGGUUUGAUGAGCCAGAAUCACUAAAAACGCUAAGACUCGAGCUUUUGAUGAAGUAACACGGUUAUCAACCCUAAGUUUUGUUAUCAUUCAUUUUACCAGCACCACUGGUUUCAAGAAGCAGGUAAUAACAAAUUCAACAGAACCCACGUGCCAUCUUCCUUUUAUGAAGUUCAGCAGUAGUUUUAACUGAUGCAUCAAUAACUAUUUAAUAUACAAAUCGUGCUCACAAAUAUGUUCACAAAGUUGUGGACCAUUAAUGAAUUUUAAAGUAGCACAAAAUUCUGCAAGUCAAACAAAAUAAUUUCAUCCAAUCCAACAUAAUGUUUUGCAAUGCUCUAAAAUAUUCCAAGUCCAACAGCCGAAAAUCAAUAGUUUUCACAUGAAGAGAAGCUUCCAUGAUUUUUACAGUUACCUUUCCAAUAGCGGCUGCUAAAUA
This 627-nucleotide unclassified non-coding RNA is filed under the name Hevea brasiliensis (rubber tree). The record is from RNAcentral. Lineage: Eukaryota; Viridiplantae; Streptophyta; Magnoliopsida; Malpighiales; Euphorbiaceae.